GUGGCUGUAGCUCAGUUGGUUAGAGCGCUUGACUGUGGCUCAAGAAGUCGGGAGUUCGAAUCUCCUCAGCCACCCCA
RNAcentral lists this transfer RNA (77 nucleotides) under Candidatus Omnitrophota bacterium. Its description in RNAcentral is "Candidatus Omnitrophica bacterium tRNA-His". It matches the Rfam family "tRNA". From Rfam's summary of the family: Transfer RNA (tRNA) molecules are approximately 80 nucleotides in length. Their secondary structure includes four short double-helical elements and three loops (D, anti-codon, and T loops). The record is from RNAcentral. Lineage: Bacteria; Pseudomonadati; Candidatus Omnitrophota.